AUGGUAAAAAGACAGCACGCCAUUAGCAUUGCACCGUCCUCACGAGCACAAGAUCGCCGGAGCCACCAUCACCGCUAUGGACCAGGACGAGAAGCAGAUUGCCAGCCACAAGUAGUCACAUAUGGGCACAACCACUCCAGCAAUCAUGACGGGCAAGGCGAGGCGACUCCGGCAACUUCGCAGGAGUCGCGAUGUUCCACGGUGACAGCGGUGGCAAGGACAACAAACCUACAACGGCUGCCGCUCCAGAUGGGUGGGACUAAUAUGUUGUCCUGGGUCUCUUUGACAAUGUCUCAUCCUGUGAUUGACCAACAUAUUGAACAAAAAAUGUUCUUCUCCAGCAACUCUUUUUGA
This 354-nucleotide ribosomal RNA is filed under the name Triticum aestivum (bread wheat). RNAcentral describes it as "partial small subunit ribosomal RNA". Lineage: Eukaryota; Viridiplantae; Streptophyta; Magnoliopsida; Poales; Poaceae. The record is from RNAcentral.